AUUGAACGCUGGCGGCAGGCCUAACACAUGCAAGUCGAGCGGAUGAAGGGAGCUUGCUCCUGGAUUCAGCGGCGGACGGGUGAGUAAUGCCUAGGAAUCUGCCUGGUAGUGGGGGAUAACGUCCGGAAACGGGCGCUAAUACCGCAUACGUCCUGAGGGAGAAAGUGGGGGAUCUUCGGACCUCACGCUAUCAGAUGAGCCUAGGUCGGAUUAGCUAGUUGGUGGGGUAAAGGCCUACCAAGGCGACGAUCCGUAACUGGUCUGAGAGGAUGAUCAGGCACACUGGAACUGAGACACGGUCCAGACUCCUACGGGAGGCAGCAGUGGGGAAUAUUGGACAAUGGGCGAAAGCCUGAUCCAGCCAUGCCGCGUGUGUGAAGAAGGUCUUCGGAUUGUAAAGCACUUUAAGUUGGGAGGAAGGGAAGUAAGUUAAUACCUUGCUGUUUUGACGUUACCAACAGAAUAAGCACCGGCUAACUUCGUG
This 484-nucleotide ribosomal RNA is filed under the name uncultured bacterium. RNAcentral's name for it is "partial 16S ribosomal RNA". It matches the Rfam family "Bacterial small subunit ribosomal RNA", at positions 30 to 507 of the family's 1533-position model. The record is from RNAcentral.